UUGGCUCAGGAUGAACGCUGGCGGCAGGCUUAAUACAUGCAAGUCGAGGGGCAGCAGCUUUAUAGCAAUAUAGAGGCUGGCGACCGGCAAACGGGUGCGGAACACGUACACAACCUUCCUUGAAUAGGGGGAUAGCCCAUAGAAAUGUGGAUUAAUACCCCGUAAUAUAGCGGUGUGGCAUCACACUGUUAUUAUAGUUUCGGCGAUUCGAGAUGGGUGUGCGGCUGAUUAGGUAGUUGGCGGGGUAAAGGCCCACCAAGCCUUCGAUCAGUAGCUGAUGUGAGAGCAUGAUCAGCCACACGGGCACUGAGACACGGGCCCGACUCCUACGGGAGGCAGCAGUGGGGAAUA
This 351-nucleotide ribosomal RNA is filed under the name uncultured rumen bacterium. RNAcentral's name for it is "bacterial SSU rRNA". It matches the Rfam family "Bacterial small subunit ribosomal RNA", at positions 19 to 363 of the family's 1533-position model. The record is from RNAcentral.